GACGUAGGGGGCGAGCGUUGUCCGGAAUUACUGGGCGUAAAGCGCGUGUAGGCGGCUCUGCAAGUCGGAUGUGAAAUCCCACGGCUCAACCAUGGAAGUGCAUUCGAAACUGCAGGGCUAGAGUUCUGGAGAGGAAGGUGGAAUGCUUGGUGUAGAGGUGAAAUUCGUAGAUAUCAAGCGGAACACCGGUGGCGAAGGCGGCCUUCUGGACAGUAACUGACGCUGAGACGCGAAAGCGUGGGGAGCAAACAGG
This 253-nucleotide ribosomal RNA is filed under the name uncultured bacterium. Its description in RNAcentral is "partial 16S ribosomal RNA". It matches the Rfam family "Bacterial small subunit ribosomal RNA", at positions 524 to 776 of the family's 1533-position model. The record is from RNAcentral.